CACGUAGGCGGAAUGGCAAGUCGGUCGUGAAAUCCUUCGGCUCAACCGAAGAACGUCGAUCGAAACUGCCGUUCUUGAGGAUUGCAGAGGAGACUGGAAUUCCCGGUGUAGCGGUGAAAUGUGUAGAGAUCGGGAGGAACACCGGUGGCGAAGGCGGGUCUCUGGGCAAUUCCUGACGCUGAGGCGCGAAAGCGUGGGGAGCAAACGG
Molecule: ribosomal RNA, 208 nt
Filed under: uncultured bacterium
Lineage: Bacteria
Description: partial 16S ribosomal RNA
Rfam family: Bacterial small subunit ribosomal RNA
Source: RNAcentral